UACGUAGGGUGCAAGCGUUGUCCGGAAUUAUUGGGCGUAAAGAGCUCGUAGGCGGUCUGUCGCGUCGGAUGUGAAAACCCAGGGCUCAACCCUGGGCCUGCAUUCGAUACGGGCAGACUAGAGUUCGGUAGGGGAGACUGGAAUUCCUGGUGUAGCGGUGAAAUGCGCAGAUAUCGGGAGGAACACCUGAGGCGAAGGCGGGCUACUGGGCCGAUACUGACGCUGAUGCGCGAAAGUGUGGGGAGCGAACAGG
RNAcentral lists this ribosomal RNA (253 nucleotides) under uncultured bacterium. RNAcentral describes it as "partial 16S ribosomal RNA". It matches the Rfam family "Bacterial small subunit ribosomal RNA", at positions 524 to 776 of the family's 1533-position model. The record is from RNAcentral.